RNAcentral lists this ribosomal RNA (468 nucleotides) under uncultured bacterium. Its description in RNAcentral is "partial 16S ribosomal RNA". It matches the Rfam family "Bacterial small subunit ribosomal RNA", at positions 28 to 507 of the family's 1533-position model. The record is from RNAcentral.
GACGAACGCUGGCGGCGUGCUUAACACAUGCAAGUCGAACGGAAAGGCCCGGCUUUUGCGGGGUGCUCGAUUGGCGAACGGGUGAGUAACACGUGAGUAACCUGCCCUUGACUUUGGGAUAACUCCAGGAAACUCGGGCUAUUACCGGAUAGGAUCUCUUGCUGCAUGGUGUGGGUUGGAAAGUUUCGGCGGUUGGGGAUGGACUCGCGGCUUAUCAGCUUGUUGGUGGGGUAGUGGCUUACCAAGGCUUUGACGGGUAGCCGGCCUGAGAGGGUGACCGGCCACAUUGGGACUGAGAUACGGCCCAGACUCCUACGGGAGGCAGCAGUGGGGAAUAUUGCACAAUGGGCGGAAGCCUGAUGCAGCAACGCCGCGUGCGGGAUGACGGCCUUCGGGUUGUAAACCGCUUUCGCCUGUGACGAAGAGUGAGUGACGGUAAUGGGUAAAGAAGCACCGGCUAACUACGUG